Seriola aureovittata is the source of this 577-nucleotide long non-coding RNA. RefSeq lists it as uncharacterized. The record is from RefSeq and is a predicted model, not a curated record. The transcript is spliced from 5 exons. Lineage: Eukaryota; Metazoa; Chordata; Actinopteri; Carangiformes; Carangidae.
GUUGUAGAAAUGCCUCGUCACCUCUUCUCGUCUUCUUGCUUCUCGUCUUUAGACAGAAGACAAAGACUGGUCUGAUGAAGCUCCUGCAGGUGGCGCUGUGCUCGGCCCGUCGCACAGAGGGAAAAACCUCAGGAGUUUCCUGUUGGAGCAGCUCAGACUGAUUGACUGACAGCUCACCGCCUCUGACCGAGAUCACACAGGUGUUUACAGGUUUCAGAAGCUCAGAGUGAGCUGCUCCACCUUCGCCAUCUUGGCAGCGUCUGACUCCGCCCCCUAACUCCCAGCUAAUCCAAAAAUUGUCAAAAAGCAGCUCAUCUGUCCAGAUUAAAGAGAAGCUACACUGUCGUCUCCCCCUCCGUCCUCUGCGCUUCAGGUGGCCGAAGGUCCAUCCAUCCGUGUCGAAGGAGGCGAGGCUCCGGGUCGACCUCUGACCUCUGAGACCUCCGGUGGAGCAGCUACAUGUAUGAGGUCUAUUUAUUCGGGUCGGGUCUGGCGCCGCUCAGGUCCCGCCUCAGAUCUGCUCUCUCUUGGGAGGAUUUUCCUUGGGCCCAGUUUGGAUCAGACCCAUGAGGAGCAG